RNAcentral lists this ribosomal RNA (277 nucleotides) under uncultured bacterium. RNAcentral's name for it is "partial 16S ribosomal RNA". It matches the Rfam family "Bacterial small subunit ribosomal RNA", at positions 28 to 309 of the family's 1533-position model. The record is from RNAcentral.
GACGAACGCUGGCGGCGUGCUUAACACAUGCAAGUCGAGCGGUAAGGCCUUUCGGGGUACACGAGCGGCGAACGGGUGAGUAACACGUGGGUGACCUGCCUUUAGCUUCGGGAUAAGCCUGGGAAACCGGGUCUAAUACCGGAUAUGACCUCAUGUCGCAUGGUGUGGGGUGGAAAGUUCUUCGGCUAGAGAUGGGCCUGCGGCCUAUCAGCUUGUUGGUGGGGUGGAUGGCCUACCAAGGCGACGACGGGUAGCCGGCCUGAGAGGGCGACCGGCC